UAUCAUUUGUGAUGGUUAUGAGUUUGGGGU
This 30-nucleotide non-coding RNA is filed under the name Mus musculus (house mouse). The record is from RNAcentral. Lineage: Eukaryota; Metazoa; Chordata; Mammalia; Rodentia; Muridae.